This 1079-nucleotide long non-coding RNA is filed under the name Lupinus angustifolius (narrow-leaved blue lupine). RNAcentral describes it as "long non-coding RNA (LANG_LNC003353)". Lineage: Eukaryota; Viridiplantae; Streptophyta; Magnoliopsida; Fabales; Fabaceae. The record is from RNAcentral.
UCUGUGGCAGUUUCAUUCCAAACCGAUGGAGGAAGACAAUGAAAAGUGUGGUUUUUUCCACUGUGAAACCAAAACCUUCUUUAGAUUGGCUAUUGCACUCCUUUCUUCUUACGAUGACUUUUUGGAUUUUUAUGGAUGUGAUAACCUUUUGAAUAUUGAGGAUUUUUCUGGAUAUCUCUUAGUUGAUGACUUUUGUGAAUGAAUGAUUCUCGGUAUCGUCUAGUUGAUUGGGAAUUGCUUUAACUUUCCUUUGUCCCUUUUUUUGUUCUAAAAUCAUGUGUGUGCUUGAUGGUUUUUUUGUGUGUACCUCUAAUGGUUUUUAAGUUUCUAUUGUUUGGUGGAUUGUUGUAUAUGGGGGAAUUGUGCUUGGUUUGGAACUUGGUCAUUGAGGAAAAAAAUAGAGUAGAAGUGUAUAUGGGAACAUAUAUGGGAUAGAGAACAACUAUGAAUGUGGAGUGAAAAUGUAUGGAUGAAUGAACAACACAAUAUCUUAUGUUUUUUUUUGGCUUCCUUAUUGGUCUCAUGACUUUGCUUGAAUGAAUAUGGAGUAGUAAAUUUAAAAGUGGAUGGAAACAAAACUAUAGAAUAUGUGUUGAAGGAGGAGGAGCCAAAAAUGGUGUGUAAACAUAACAAAUAGACUAUUUGGUACUAAUAUGAAAUCAAGAACCUCAUUUUCCAUUAAAUGAUGAUGCUCAAUAAUAUAGGGGAAAUAAGAAUAUGGCUAUGAUGAAUCUGAUAUGCUUUGUAUUUUCCUUGUUGUGACUUAGAUUUUUUUGUGGUUGUGGGAAAAGAUAAUAGGUUAAAAAGAACCUCUGUAACACAGGUAAUACCAUGUAUGUAUGGAAUUUUUUAUGGUUAGUGUCAUCAUUAGGCAAUUUUGGGUGAUGGUAAUUGGUUUAUAUGUUGAUGAAUAGAAUAUGAAAAAGAAUAAAGGAUUGAUGGUUACAGAAUGAAAGGGAUAAUUUUUGGAUUGAGAUAUUGAAGAGAGAAGAUGAUAUCUCCUCGCCCGUGUGAAGGUGGGGUUGUAUGGAUUUUAUGGGGAAAAUGUGGGUGGUUUCUUGUAGAAGUGGUGAGUGGGG